This 66-nucleotide non-coding RNA is filed under the name Solidesulfovibrio carbinolicus. The record is from RNAcentral. Lineage: Bacteria; Pseudomonadati; Thermodesulfobacteriota; Desulfovibrionia; Desulfovibrionales; Desulfovibrionaceae.
AUGCGAAACCGCCCAACGCGGGCGGUCGUCGGAUGGUGGUUCAUCCGGCUUGACAAGCAGCCACAG